Long non-coding RNA from Equus caballus (horse), 1735 nucleotides. RefSeq lists it as uncharacterized. NCBI's taxonomy places the organism in Eukaryota, Metazoa, Chordata, Mammalia, Perissodactyla, Equidae. The record is from RefSeq and is a predicted model, not a curated record.
CAAGAUGUUGGGGAUCCACAUAGCCUCAGUAUGGGGGUCUCUGGGACCCCUUUGUUUACCUGGAUCCUUGCAGCAAGCCACUUGCUGUUUUUAACACCUGCAGCACAUGUCUGGGCCUCCAAAUCCUGUGGGGGCUGCUUGAGGGAGCCGGGAGGGAGGAGGGACUCUGGGGGAUAGGAGAGAGGUGACAGCUGUCUGCAAAUGUUGGAUGGUGGAGAAACUUCAAUUGGAAAUGGGAGAAAAUAGACUUCUCUGGGACCUCAGACUAUGUAAUUAGGACCAGAGAUGGCACUAAAAGAGACACAUUUUCCUGUAAAUAUAAGCACAACAACAACAAACCCAACUUUUUUUUUUAGCAGUCAGGGAUAUCUGCCAAUUGUUGUAUCUGUGGUCUCAGUCACCUCCUCAGAGGCUCCCAUGAACCCCUCUUCCUCUCCUCCAUUUAAAUUUGAUCCUCCCCUCAGUUAUUCUGCGCCAUCAAUCUGUUUAUUUCUGGUAAGUUACUUAUGAAAGUCAUAAAUAUCAUGCCUCUGCCUGCUCGCUUGUUUAGUUUCUGCCUUUCAGUCUGGGUGAUAAGCUUCACGAGGGCAGAACUCUUAUCGCCUCAUUCAUCCUUACUUCACCAGGGCCCAGCACGGGGCCUGGCACAUAGUAGGAGCUCAAGAAACAGGUGUUGAUUGAACAAAUGAAGAAUGAAUGAAUACUUCAGGAGGGAAUGAAUUCCCCACCAGAGGAAGGAUUUAAGCAGAGGCUGCGCGGCCAAUAGUCAGGGCUGCUGGAAACCCUCCUUCUCCUCCUCGCUGCUUUGGUUUGUUACGCCAGCCGCUGGGAUGACCGAACCCAAACUAUAUGGUGGUUCGGUCCUGACAGAAAGUUGUUUUGCUCGUGUAAAGUCUCAGCUGGCUGUUUCUGAUGGGUAGGCAGCUCUUCUCUAGGGUGUGGUUCCAGGAUUCAGGCCUCUGUCACCUUGUGGCUCUGUCAUCUUCAGUAUGUGGCUUUUUAGGUCAACAUGCUCAAUGGCACACAGCAGUUAGAAGGGAAAAGGGGGAUUACAGGCCAUGCCCGGAAGAGGGACACAUCCCUUCUGCUCACACUCCUUUGCUAGAACUCCAUCCUAUCUCAUUGCGAGGUGUAGGUCAUGGCCCGGGAGAGAGUGGGGCUGAGUCUGGUUGAUAAUCCGUCAGGCUGUGCAUGCCUGCAUUGGGCAGGAGGUGGGAACAGAUGGCUUCAGGGAGCCUCUCCAAUUCCCAGCACUUCUGUUUGAAGAGUUCUGUCUCCUUUUUGCAACAACUUGGCAGUUAAGGAGAAGUCAGGUACUAGUCGGCUCUCUUUCUUUUUUAGCUUUGUAAUUCUUUUUGUUUUGCUCAAGAAUUCCCUUAGGUGUUUCUGCUGUGUCAUUAUGGGCAGUGAGAACAUUUGCUUAGGCAACCACAAAAAUGCCCAAGUCAGACAGACCUGCCCAGGAAUCCUAGCUUUAUCACUCCCUAGGUAUGCGGCGUUGGGUGAGUGAUCCAACCUCUCUGUGCCUCUACUUUCUCCUCUAGAAAAUAAGGACAAUAACAGUAAUAACGCUGACUUCGUAACAUUGUGAAGCUUCAAACAGCAGAGGUAAAUACAUCAUGAAAAUGCAGGAUGCCGGAGACUUCCCAUCACGUCCUGAUAUCCUCCUCUCAUCUUCUAGAUAUUAUGGGGCUGACCCCGUGGCCGAGUGGUUAAGUUCGUGUGCUCUGCUGCA